This 253-nucleotide ribosomal RNA is filed under the name uncultured bacterium. Its description in RNAcentral is "partial 16S ribosomal RNA". It matches the Rfam family "Bacterial small subunit ribosomal RNA", at positions 524 to 776 of the family's 1533-position model. The record is from RNAcentral.
UACAGAGGUCUCAAGCGUUGUUCGGAUUCAUUGGGCGUAAAGGGUGCGUAGGCGGCGCGGUAAGUCGGGUGUGAAAGCUUGGGGCUUAACCCCGAAAGGGCACUCGAAACUGCGUUGCUAGAGGGCCGGAGAGGAGAUCGGAAUUCACGGUGUAGCAGUGAAAUGCGUAGAGCUCGUGAGGAAGACCGGUGGCGAAGGCGGAUCUCUGGACGGCCCCUGACGCUGAGGCGCGAAGGCUAGGGGAGCAAACGGG